This 857-nucleotide ribosomal RNA is filed under the name Pseudoalteromonas agarivorans. Its description in RNAcentral is "partial 23S ribosomal RNA". It matches the Rfam family "Bacterial large subunit ribosomal RNA", at positions 1001 to 1847 of the family's 2925-position model. Lineage: Bacteria; Pseudomonadati; Pseudomonadota; Gammaproteobacteria; Alteromonadales; Pseudoalteromonadaceae. The record is from RNAcentral.
ACGUCCGUCGUGAAGAGGGAAACAACCCAGACCGCCAGCUAAGGUCCCAAAGUCAUAGUUAAGUGGGAAACGAUGUGGAAAGGCCCAGACAGCCAGGAGGUUGGCUUAGAAGCAGCCAUCCUUUAAAGAAAGCGUAAUAGCUCACUGGUCGAGUCGGUCUGCGCGGAAGAUGUAACGGGGCUAAACUAUGCACCGAAGCUGCGGAUUCAUCUUAGGAUGAGUGGUAGGGGAGCGUUCUGUAAGCGGUUGAAGGUGUACCGGGGGGUAUGCUGGACGUAUCAGAAGUGCGAAUGCUGACAUGAGUAACGAUAAUGCGGGUGAAAAACCCGCACGCCGGAAGACCAAGGGUUCCUAUCCCAUGUUAAUCAGGGUAGGGUAAGUCGACCCCUAAGGCGAGGCCGAAAGGCGUAGUCGAUGGGAAACGGAUUAAUAUUUCCGUACUUGGUAUAAUUGCGAUGGGGGGACGGAGAAGGCUAAGCAAGCAUGGCGAUGGUUGUCCAUGUGAAAGUGAGUAGGCUAGUGACUUAGGUAAAUCCGGGUUGCUGUUAGGCUGAGACACGAGACGAGCACCCAAGGGUGUGAAGUUGCUGAUGCCAUACUUCCAGGAAAAGCCUCUAAGCUUCAGAUUAUACCGAAUCGUACCCCAAACCGACACAGGUGGUCAGGUAGAGAAUACUAAGGCGCUUGAGAGAACUCGGGUGAAGGAACUAGGCAAAAUCGUACCGUAACUUCGGGAGAAGGUACGCUCCUAUCUGUGAUGAGACUUGCUCUCUAAGCGGACGGGAGCCGCAGUGACCAGGUGGCUGGGACUGUUUAUUAAAAACACAGCACUGUGCAAAAUCGCAAGAUGACGUAUA